Molecule: ribosomal RNA, 433 nt
Filed under: uncultured bacterium
Lineage: Bacteria
Description: partial 16S ribosomal RNA
Rfam family: Bacterial small subunit ribosomal RNA
Source: RNAcentral
AACGAACGCUGGCGGCAUGCCUAACACAUGCAAGUCGAACGAGACCUUCGGGUCUAGUGGCGCACGGGUGCGUAACGCGUGGGAACCUGCCCUUAGGUUCGGACUAACUCCCCGAAAGGGGUGCUAAUACCGGAUAAUGUCUUCGGACCAAAGAUUUAUCGCCUUUGGAUGGGCCCGCGUUGGAUUAGCUAGUUGGUAGGGUAAAAGCCUACCAAGGCGACGAUCCAUAGCUGGUCUGAGAGGAUGAUCAGCCACACUGGGACUGAGACACGGCCCAGACUCCUACGGGAGGCAGCAGUGGGGAAUAGUGGACAAUGGGCGGAAGCCUGAUCCAGCAAUGCCGCGUGAGUGAUGAAGGCCUUAGGGUUGUAAAGCUCUUUUACCCGGGAUGAUAAUGACAGUACCGGGAGAAUAAGCUCCGGCUAACUCCGUG